This 89-nucleotide transfer RNA is filed under the name Gammaproteobacteria bacterium. RNAcentral's name for it is "tRNA-Ser". It matches the Rfam family "tRNA". Rfam says of the family: Transfer RNA (tRNA) molecules are approximately 80 nucleotides in length. Their secondary structure includes four short double-helical elements and three loops (D, anti-codon, and T loops). Lineage: Bacteria; Pseudomonadati; Pseudomonadota; Gammaproteobacteria. The record is from RNAcentral.
GGAGAGGUGUCCGAGAGGCCGAAGGAGCGCGCUUGGAAAGCGCGUAUGGGGAUAACUCAUCGAGGGUUCGAAUCCCUCCCUCUCCGCCA